RNAcentral lists this ribosomal RNA (565 nucleotides) under uncultured bacterium. RNAcentral's name for it is "bacterial SSU rRNA". It matches the Rfam family "Bacterial small subunit ribosomal RNA", at positions 337 to 916 of the family's 1533-position model. The record is from RNAcentral.
UCCUACGGGAGGCAGCAGUGGGGAAUUUUCCGCAAUGGGCGAAAGCCUGACGGAGCAACGCCGCGUGAGGGAUGAAGGCCUCUGGGCUGUAAACCUCUUUUAUCAAGGAAGAAGAUCUGACGGUACUUGAUGAAUAAGCCACGGCUAAUUCCGUGCCAGCAGCCGCGGUAAUACGGGAGUGGCAAGCGUUAUCCGGAAUUAUUGGGCGUAAAGCGUCCGCAGGCGGCCCUUCAAGUCUGCUGUUAAAAAGUGGAGCUUAACUCCAUCAUGGCAGUGGAAACUGAGGGGCUUGAGUGUGGUAGGGGCAGAGGGAAUUCCCGGUGUAGCGGUGAAAUGCGUAGAUAUCGGGAAGAACACCAGUGGCGAAGGCGCUCUGCUGGGCCAUCACUGACGCUCAUGGACGAAAGCCAGGGGAGCGAAAGGGAUUAGAUACCCCUGUAGUCCUGGCCGUAAACGAUGAACACUAGGUGUCGGGGGAAUCGACCCCCUCGGUGUCGUAGCCAACGCGUUAAGUGUUCCGCCUGGGGAGUACGCACGCAAGUGUGAAACUCAAAUGAAUUGACGG